GGUAGGGUGGCCGAAGCUAGGCGGCGGGUUGUAGCCCCGAAGAUAGGGGUUUAAGUCCUCUUCCUACCA
RNAcentral lists this transfer RNA (69 nucleotides) under Oreonectes jiarongensis. RNAcentral describes it as "tRNA-Tyr". It matches the Rfam family "tRNA". Rfam says of the family: Transfer RNA (tRNA) molecules are approximately 80 nucleotides in length. RNAcentral also lists the same sequence under 3 other names. The record is from RNAcentral. Lineage: Eukaryota; Metazoa; Chordata; Actinopteri; Cypriniformes; Nemacheilidae.